AGAGAUGUGUGAUGACGCAUAUCAAUAAGCGGAGGAAAAGAAACUAACAAGGAUUCCCUUAGUAACGGCGAGUGAAGCGGGAAGAGCUCAAAUUUGAAAUCUUCAAGGUUCUACCUUGACGAAUUGUAGUUUAAAGAAGUGUUUUCUGUUAGUGGAGUGGCAAAAGUUCUUUGGAAUAGGACAUCAUAGAGGGUGAGAAUCCCGUAUUUGGUCAUUCUUUCUAGCUUUGUGAUACACUUUCAACGAGUCGGAUUGUUUGGGAAUGCAGUCCAAAAUGGGUGGUAAAUUUCAUCUAAAGCUAAAUAUUGGCGAGAGACCGAUAGCGAACAAGUACCGUGAGGGAAAGAUGAAAAGAACUUUGAAAAGAGAGUUAAACAGUACGUGAAAUUGUCAAAAGGGAAGCGUUUGACACCAGUGUUGUUUUUCCGAAAAUCAAUUACGAAUGUUUUGUUUUUAAGAAGUUAUGACUUCAUCGGCUUGCUUCUUUCUUUACGAAACUUUCUUAAUGCACUUUUCGGUUAACAAGUCAGCAUCAAUUUCUUUUGUUGUAAAAAGGUACGAGGAAGGUGGCUUUCUUUUCGGAGAAAGUGUUUAUAGCCUUGUACCUCUGCAAUCGGAGAGAUUGAGGUCUGCAGCGUAGAUCCUUCGGGGUUAGAUACAUUUGUGCUAAGUUAUAGCUUUUCAUAGACAACUUGUUGACUAUGUUAAGUCUUGUAGCUUACUCGCUUAUGCUAUUUUACCUACGCUUAGGAUGUUGACGAUCAGCUGAGCGCG
This 774-nucleotide ribosomal RNA is filed under the name uncultured Neocallimastigales. RNAcentral's name for it is "partial large subunit ribosomal RNA". It matches the Rfam family "Eukaryotic large subunit ribosomal RNA", at positions 23 to 640 of the family's 3401-position model. The record is from RNAcentral. Lineage: Eukaryota; Fungi; Neocallimastigomycota; Neocallimastigomycetes; Neocallimastigales.